GUCAAACAUGUUAAGUUGUGCAUACAACAUCUGCGUAAGAAGGGGGCUCAGUUGGACGCUAAGUCUACCAAUUUGGUCUCUUUUUGUAGAAUAGACACCGACCCAUUGGAGAAAGAUGUUGCCCGUAUAUACAUAGCAGUCGUGUGCAAGAAAGUCUGUGCACAGAUACGGCUAAUUGCUGGACUUGAAGUCAUCAGUGGGACUAAUCAAGAUAGUUCAUCACUGUAUGUUGUUGGUUUGAAGGACGAUAAUGAGGUGUGGGAUGAAGUGAGGGCCGCUAGGAACCCUGAGCAGAUAGAAAAGGCGAUGGAUUUCUUAAAGGGGUUUUUAGAUAAAGGAUCGUCAUCCCACGAGAACAUCGUGGCCGGAGAAUUUGGUCCUAUGCCAACUCACUUUUCGUCUAGUAACCAGCCAUUAGAGAAGAGAGUCCUUGAUCCUGAUGAGAUUAGGGCAAAAGGAGCUCCAUCGAAGAGACGAAGGCCAUUCCAUGAGACAUUGCACACAAAUAACCAAUAA
RNAcentral lists this long non-coding RNA (516 nucleotides) under Oryza sativa Indica Group (long-grained rice). Its description in RNAcentral is "lncRNA OsZS97_08G013840". Lineage: Eukaryota; Viridiplantae; Streptophyta; Magnoliopsida; Poales; Poaceae. The record is from RNAcentral.